CUCGCACUACCUCCUCGAUCACAUACCACUAUCUUUCUGGCAACUUUUUCUGGAAUCAAACUUCCGGCCAUGCAAAGAGCUCCACCACUUGAAUUACUCACAUUACCGCCAUAAACUAGUGGCACCAUGGAAUCAGAUAACUGCUUUCCAUUAUAAAGUGUCACACCGGAGUGUAGUUCAUUGUUACCCAGAGUAAUAGAGGCAGGGAAAUCACGGUCCAAUGUUCCAGCACCUACAGUGGUUAUCCACGGUGCAACAUUUGACAAGCUGCUUGGUAUGGGUCCACUGUUUCCAGCUGAACAAGAUACAAAAAUUCCAUUUGCAGCUGCUGUGAAUGCU
RNAcentral lists this long non-coding RNA (339 nucleotides) under Gossypium barbadense (sea-island cotton). Its description in RNAcentral is "long non-coding RNA (GBAR_LNC003895)". The record is from RNAcentral. Lineage: Eukaryota; Viridiplantae; Streptophyta; Magnoliopsida; Malvales; Malvaceae.